AGAGUUUGAUCCUGGCUCAGAUUGAACGCUGGCGGCAUGCCUUACACAUGCAAGUCGAACGGUAACAGGUCUUCGGACGCUGACGAGUGGCGAACGGGUGAGUAAUACAUCGGAACGUGCCCAGUCGUGGGGGAUAACUACUCGAAAGAGUAGCUAAUACCGCAUACGAUCUGAGGAUGAAAGCGGGGGACCUUCGGGCCUCGCGCGAUUGGAGCGGCCGAUGGCAGAUUAGGUAGUUGGUGGGAUAAAAGCUUACCAAGCCGACGAUCUGUAGCUGGUCUGAGAGGACGACCAGCCACACUGGGACUGAGACACGGCCCAGACUCCUACGGGAGGCAGCAGUGGGGAAUUUUGGACAAUGGGCGAAAGCCUGAUCCAGCAAUGCCGCGUGCAGGAUGAAGGCCUUCGGGUUGUAAACUGCUUUUGUACGGAACGAAAAAGCUUCUCCUAAUACGAGAGGCCCAUGACGGUACCGUAAGAAUAAGCACCGGCUAACUACGUGCCAGCAGCCCGCGGUAAUACGUAGGGUGCGAGCGUUAAUCGGAAUUACUUGGGCGUAAAGCGUGCGCAGGCGGUUAUGUAAGACAGAUGUGAAAUCCCCGGGCUCAACCUGGGAACUGCAUUUGUGACUGCAUGGCUAGAGUACGGUAGAGGGGGAUGGAAUUCCGCGUGUAGCAGUGAAAUGCGUAGAUAUGCGGAGGAACACCGAUGGCGAAGGCAAUCCCCUGGACCUGUACUGACGCUCAUGCACGAAAGCUGGGGAGCAAACAG
Molecule: ribosomal RNA, 771 nt
Filed under: uncultured bacterium
Lineage: Bacteria
Description: bacterial SSU rRNA
Rfam family: Bacterial small subunit ribosomal RNA
Source: RNAcentral